This 433-nucleotide ribosomal RNA is filed under the name uncultured bacterium. RNAcentral's name for it is "partial 16S ribosomal RNA". It matches the Rfam family "Bacterial small subunit ribosomal RNA", at positions 29 to 507 of the family's 1533-position model. The record is from RNAcentral.
AACGAACGCUGGCGGCAUGCCUAACACAUGCAAGUCGAACGAGACCUUCGGGUCUAGUGGCGCACGGGUGCGUAACGCGUGGGAACCUGCCCUUAGGUUCGGAAUAACUCCCCGAAAGGGGUGCUAAUACCGGAUAAUGUCUUCGGACCAAAGAUUUAUCGACUUUGGAUGGGCCCGCGUUGGAUUAGCUAGUUGGUAGGGUAAAAGCCUACCAAGGCGACGAUCCAUAGCUGGUCUGAGAGGAUGAUCAGCCACACUGGGACUGAGACACGGCCCAGACUCCUACGGGAGGCAGCAGUGGGGAAUAUUGGACAGUGGGCGAAAGCCUGAUCCAGCAAUGCCGCGUGAGUGAUGAAGGCCUUAGGGUUGUAAAGCUCUUUUACCCGGGAUGAUAAUGACAGUACCGGGAGAAUAAGCUCCGGCUAACUCCGUG